AGAGUUUGAUCCUGGCUCAGCCUGAACGCUGUCGGCGUGAUUAAGACAUGCAAGUCGUACGCACGUAGCAAUACGUGAGUGGCGCACGGGUGAGUAAUGCAUCGCUAAUGUACCCUGGGGUCUGGGAUAGCCAGUCGAAAGAUUGGGUAAUACCAGAUGAGACCACGAGUAGGCAUCUACUUGUGCUCAAAGGGCAACUGCCCUGGGAUCAGGCGAUGUGGUAUCAGGUAGUUGGUGAGGUAACGGCUCACCAAGCCUUCGACGCCUAGCCGGACUGAGAGGUCGGUCGGCCACAUCGGGACUGAGACACUGCCCGGACUCCUACGGGGGGCUGCAGUAAUGAAUCUUCCGCAAUGCACGAAAGUGUGACGGAGCGACGCCGAGUGAAGGAUGAAGUCUUUCGGGAUGUAAACUUCUAAAACCUGUUAGAAAGUUCUGAUCAGCAGGCUAUAAGUGGCGACUAACUCUGUGCCAGCAGUCGCGGUAAUACAGAGGCCACGAGCGUUAGGCGGAAUCACUGGGCUUAAAGCGUGUGUAGGUGGAUGGGUAAGUACCUUGUGAAAUCCCACGACUCAAUCGUGGAACUGCUUGGUAUACUGCCUGUCUUGAGGUACUCAGGGGCGAGCGGAACAGAUGGUGGAGCGGUGAAAUGCGUAGAUAUCAUCUGGAACGCCAAUGGUGAAGACAGCUCGCUGGGGGUAUUCUGACACUGAGACACGAAAGCCAGGGGAGCAAACGGGAUUAGAUACCCCCGUAGUCC
Molecule: ribosomal RNA, 760 nt
Filed under: uncultured bacterium
Lineage: Bacteria
Description: bacterial SSU rRNA
Rfam family: Bacterial small subunit ribosomal RNA
Source: RNAcentral